This 624-nucleotide long non-coding RNA is filed under the name Pogona vitticeps (central bearded dragon). RNAcentral describes it as "lncRNA (ENSPVIG00000021918.1)". The record is from RNAcentral. Lineage: Eukaryota; Metazoa; Chordata; Lepidosauria; Squamata; Agamidae.
UCCUGUUGAAACUGUGCCGUUGUAUAUUUCAUACCAAUCAGAUUGAUUGACCUUUUUGCUUGCCAUGUCACCACUCUUUCAAAAUUGCCAUGUUGUGGAGAGACAUGAUAAUGGCUGACUCUCAUCAUAAGAACAAAUAUGGCUCUGAUUGCCUUUUUGUCUUCCAGAAAAACGGAGGACUGCAUAAGCACUGUUUGAUAGUGCACAAGCCUAUUUCCAGCAACAGCAGAUUAUGACAACUGGUACAGAUGAAGUUGCUAUAGGACUGGAAGGCUCUGUGGGGAAAGAAACACAUUUUGUAAAAGAGGAGUCUGUACAGAGAUUUCAUUUCUUUGCCGUUAGACAUCUAUAUGAUCUUCCUUUCUGCUCAAUUUCCUGAUCGCUAUUACAUGAUCCAACCGAAACAGUGUGCAGCCGGGGGACCACUGGUGCUUAUGGGUUUCCAGACGACUACAGAGCAAGAGUUUGGUCCUGAGCUGCUGGCAGAUCUGAACAACAAUCGCAAGGAGGAGGGUACCAGGUGGUGGUAAGCUGGCCCAAGUGAUCCCAGAAAUGUAAACAAGAUACCAUGGUUGCAGCAGAAGAUAUAUUACAAUUUGUUUGUAAGUUAAGAUCAAGAAAUAC